AGGAGUGGCGGACGGGUGAGUAACACGUGGGUAACCUACCCAUCAGAGGGGGAUAACACUUGGAAACAGGUGCUAAUACCGCAUAACAGUUUAUGCCGCAUGGCAUAAGAGUGAAAGGCGCUUUCGGGUGUCGCUGAUGGAUGGACCCGCGGUGCAUUAGCUAGUUGGUGAGGUAACGGCUCACCAAGGCCACGAUGCAUAGCCGACCUGAGAGGGUGAUCGGCCACACUGGGACUGAGACACGGCCCAGACUCUACGGGAGGCAGCAGUAGGGAAUCUUCGGCAAUGGACGAAAGUCUGACCGAGCAACGCCGCGUGAGUGAAGAAGGUUUUCGGAUCGUAAAACUCUGAUUGUUAGAGAAGAACAAGGACGUUAGUAACUGAACGUCCCCUGACGGUAUCUAACCAGAAAGCCACGGCUAACUACGUGCCAGCAGCCGCGGUUAAUACGUAGGUGGCAAGCGUUGUCCGGAUUUAUUGGGCGUAAAGCGAGCGCAGGCGGUUUCUUAAGUCUGAUGUGAAAGCCCCCGGCUCAACCGGGGAGGGUCAUUGGAAACUGGGAGACUUGAGUGCAGAAGAGGAGAGUGGAAUUCCAUGUGUAGCGGUGAAAUGCGUAGAUAUAUGGAGGAACACCAGUGGCGAAGGCGGCUCUCUGG
RNAcentral lists this ribosomal RNA (656 nucleotides) under Enterococcus faecalis. Its description in RNAcentral is "bacterial SSU rRNA". It matches the Rfam family "Bacterial small subunit ribosomal RNA", at positions 91 to 732 of the family's 1533-position model. Lineage: Bacteria; Bacillati; Bacillota; Bacilli; Lactobacillales; Enterococcaceae. The record is from RNAcentral.